AUGACUUUGAUCUGCGUCCUCAUCUGGACUCUCCUCUGCUGCUGCUUCUCAGAGUCCAGAGGUCAGGUCACAGUGACUCAGCCUGCAGCAGUGAGAGCUGAUCUGGGAGGAUCUUUUACCAUCAACUGUAGAACCAGUCAGAAUGUUUAUGGUUCUAACCUUUUAGCCUGGUACCAACAGAAAAAUGGAGGAACUCCCAAGCUGCUCUUUUACAAUGUUGGCAACCGAGUCUCAGGCACUCCAAAUCGGUUUAAAGAUGGUGGAUCAAACUCUGACUUCACUCUGACCGUCAGUGAAGUUCAGGUUGAAGAUGCUGCAGUUUACUACUGUCAGAGUUCUCAUCUCAUCAACAGUCAGUGGGUGUUCACACAGUGA
Cyprinodon variegatus (sheepshead minnow) is the source of this 375-nucleotide non-coding RNA. The record is from the annotation of a RefSeq genome assembly. Lineage: Eukaryota; Metazoa; Chordata; Actinopteri; Cyprinodontiformes; Cyprinodontidae.